Anastrepha ludens (Mexican fruit fly) is the source of this 2211-nucleotide long non-coding RNA. RefSeq lists it as uncharacterized. NCBI's taxonomy places the organism in Eukaryota, Metazoa, Arthropoda, Insecta, Diptera, Tephritidae. The transcript has 2 exons. The record is from RefSeq and is a predicted model, not a curated record.
CUUUGUUACUUGAGUUGUUGUAAAGCGAAAUUUUCGAAAUUUUGUGGUGCAUAAAAAACAACAAAUUAUUAAGCGCGAAAAUGCUUUUGGCUGUUCAGUGACGUUCCAACUGAUUCCUGGCUCAUUAAGCUGCGGUUUUUGUUUUCAAUAAUUCGUCGCGUUUCUCGCGUUAAGUUGAUUGUUUGUGAAUUUUGCUGCACAUCAUCUCUAAUUUACCGUUAUUCAAUUUAGCUUACGAUAGUCGCAUCAAAUUCGACGUACGAACGCGUAACAACUAAAAAAUAAUUUUGAAAUUAUCAAAUAAAAAUUAAACGUGAAAAAUAAAUUUUAAACCAAUUCAGUAGCAAUUUAAGAGUUAUUGGGAUGAAAAAGUGAAAUUUAUACCUAGUCCAAAAAUUAAACGCACAAAAAUUUAAAACCUCCAGCCGUACGCAUUUAUAUGUACUUAUACAAAAACAAUUUUUUUAAUAAAAGUCAUCAUAUCCAGCUUUAUAGGCAGAUAUUGCAACACAAUAAUUUAAAUGCAAACAAAAAAAUCUUUUUAAAAAUAUCCAAAUCUACAAAAUAAUCUAAGCAAAAAAUUUUAAAACGCCGCUAAUUCAAAUUUGAAGAAAUAUUUACAGAAAAAAAUAUAUUUGCAUUUUAAAAAGCAAUCACUUGGUGAAACUACGCCUACAAUCAACAGUUAGGGAAUCACUGAGCAAAACAUAUUUUAUUAAACAAAAUUUCUUUUGUUUUUGUUUUUUUUGGAAAAAAGCAUUACAAACACACGAAAUUACGUAUACAAAGCAGGUAAAAGUAUCUUUAGCUAAUAACAAAUUUUCCUCCAACUCUUCUCGUCUACACAUCAACUGCGUUGACAAUAAUUGCAACUGUGUGGCAACGGCGCGCUUUAACAACAACAAAAUGGCAUAAAAAUACAAAUUUUUUUUCGACCCACAACAACAACAACAAUGCGAAUUGUCAUGAAAACGCGCACGCAUUUGCUUCUGGCCAAUAAUUAAAAUGUCAAAUUGCACGACUGUGGGCUGCUGUCGGCGUCACAACACCAUUACGACGACGUCAUACGAAUGCCCAACACUAUUUUUGUUGUUCUUCAUGUGUUUGUGGGUGUAUGCGCGUAACCGUACUUUCACAAAUCCCAAACCACCCGCACUGUGAUUGCCGAAUGAAUUUGACAACCAACUGCGGAACGUUGGCUGCGGUCACUAUCACCACGACGGCUGCUACAACAACGACGACUAAUACAACUACAAUUUCCACUACUACCAAUUUUGACAUAUCGUUCAAUGCACUGCAUGCCAAUAAUGAUGAUGAUGACAUCGCAUCUACUGACACAUCUCGUUAUCUCCGAUGAUUUUCGGCUCGCGCGACAUGUCAUGUCAUCCACGAAUGACUGAAAUGCGCAAAAAAUUGCGGAAUAUCGAAAAAUGCGAUGGCAUAAAUCGAUAAUGAAUAAAAUGCAACUAAUGGCCAUGGUAAAAAAACAAAUGCAUUUAAAAAUUUUUAAAUUGAUAAAAUAAAAUGAAUAUGAAAUUAAAUAAAAAAUAAAAAAUAAUAAAUAAAAAAACGCAACGAAAUGAACUGUCAAAUAAAUGCACGAAAUAAAAAAAAAACAUGUAAACUAUAAAAAUUAUUUUUACCCAACGGCAAACGUCACAAAACGUCACGAUUCAACAAAACAAAACCAAAAAACAAAAAAAACAUACAAAAACAAAAUCAACCGCUCGACAUUCGCUAUUGACUACAUUUUUCCGUUGCUCUUUGUCGGAAAUGUCAUUAUACUUGACUGUCUGCACUUCAACUCUCAUUUAUUAUUACGAAUUCUGCCCUUGUUGACUGGCUUUCUGGCGUCACCGCUGCCACUCAACUUGCAACAAACAACAAUGUUGCUCGUUAACUGUACUGCUAACGGUUGUAAAUUGUAACGGUAAAUACAACUGUCAAACGCUGGCAAAUGUCAACUGUCAAAUUAUUGAUGCGUCAUUGUAGCCCGCAAACUAUUAGCAGCUACCCGCCAACUGAAUCGAGCGCAGAGAAAAGGAGAGUAUAUAAGAGAGCAAAAUAUAUAGGAAGUAAACGAAAAUAAAGAUUAAAUGACAAGUUAAAUAGAAAAGUUGAAACUUUGUAACAUAAAAGAGACAAGCCAAAUUGACAAGUGCAGCUGAAGGCAACACUAUUGAGGUAAAAGAAGUAGUGAAUGCAAUUAAG